Small nucleolar RNA from Microcebus murinus (gray mouse lemur), 104 nucleotides. NCBI's taxonomy places the organism in Eukaryota, Metazoa, Chordata, Mammalia, Primates, Cheirogaleidae. The record is from Ensembl.
AUCCUUUUGUAGUUCAUAAGCGUGAUGGUUGAGUGUUCAUGCGCAUGUGAGAGAUGUACCUCCCUCAAACUUUGUUAUGACGUCGACACAUUGCCCAUCUGACA